RNAcentral lists this ribosomal RNA (251 nucleotides) under uncultured prokaryote. RNAcentral describes it as "partial 16S ribosomal RNA". It matches the Rfam family "Bacterial small subunit ribosomal RNA", at positions 525 to 775 of the family's 1533-position model. The record is from RNAcentral.
ACGUAGGGUGCGAGCGUUAAUCGGAAUUACUGGGCGUAAAGCGUACGCAGGCGGUUUGCUAAGCCAGGUGUGAAAUCCCCGGGCUUAACCUGGGAAUUGCGCUUGUGACUGGCAAGCUGGAGUACGGUAGAGGGGGGUAGAAUUUCAGGUGUAGCGGUGAAAUGCGUAGAGAUGUGGAGGAACACCGAUGGCGAAGGCAGCCACCUGGGCCGAUACUGACGCUCAUGCACGAAAGCGUGGGGAGCAAACAG